CAACUGGAGAGUUUGAUCCUGGCUCAGAACGAACGCUGGCGGCGUGCUUAACACAUGCAAGUCGAACGAGAAAGGGACUUCGGUCCUGAGUAGAGUGGCGCACGGGUGAGUAACACGUGGAUAAUCUACCCAAUGAUCUGGGAUAACACUUCGAAAGGGGUGCUAAUACCGGAUAAGCCCACAGGCUCUUUGGAGCUUGCGGGAAAAGGUGGGGACCUUCGGGCCUACUGUCAUUGGAUGAGUCCGCGGCCCAUUAGCUAGUUGGUAGGGUAACGGCCUACCAAGGCAACGAUGGGUAGCUGGUCUGAGAGNNNNNNNNNNNNNNNNNNNNNNNNNNAGUGGGGAAUUUUGCGCAAUGGGCGAAAGCCUGACGCAGCAACGCCGCGUGAGUGAUGAAGGCUUUCGGGUCGUAAAGCUCUGUCAGGGGGGAAGAAACACCUGAAGGUUAAUAUCCUUUAGGCUUGACGGUACCCUCAAAGGAAGCACCGGCUAACUCCGUCCCAGCAGCCGCGGUAAUACGGAGGGUGCAAGCGUUGUUCGGAAUUAUUGGGCGUAAAGCGCGUGUAG
This 567-nucleotide non-coding RNA is filed under the name Desulfuromonadales bacterium C00003107. Its description in RNAcentral is "partial 16S ribosomal RNA". It matches the Rfam family "Bacterial small subunit ribosomal RNA", at positions 1 to 574 of the family's 1533-position model. Lineage: Bacteria; Pseudomonadati; Thermodesulfobacteriota; Desulfuromonadia; Desulfuromonadales. The record is from RNAcentral.